ACGAAGGGUGCAAGCGUUACUCGGAAUUACUGGGCGUAAAGCGUGCGUAGGUGGUUCGUUAAGUCUGAUGUGAAAGCCCUGGGCUCAACCUGGGAAUGGCAUUGGAUACUGGCGACCUAGAGUGCGGUAGAGGGUAGCGGAAUUCCCGGUGUAGCAGUGAAAUGCGUAGAUAUCGGGAGGAACAUCCGUGGCGAAGGCGGCUGGCUGGACCUGACCUGACGCUGAGGCGCGAAGGCGUGGGGAGCGAACAGGA
RNAcentral lists this ribosomal RNA (253 nucleotides) under uncultured prokaryote. RNAcentral's name for it is "partial 16S ribosomal RNA". It matches the Rfam family "Bacterial small subunit ribosomal RNA", at positions 525 to 777 of the family's 1533-position model. The record is from RNAcentral.